GACGAACGCUGGCGGCGUGCCUAAUACAUGCAAGUAGAACGCUGAAGGAGGAGCUUGCUCUUCUGGAUGAGUUGCGACGGGUGAGUAACGCGUAGGUAACCUGCCUGGUAGCGGGGGAUAACUAUUGGAAACGAUAGCUAAUACCGCAUAAAAUUGAUUAUUGCAUGAUAGUCAAUUAAAAGGUGCAAUUGCAUCACUACCAGAUGGACCUGCGUUGUAUUAGCUAGUUGGUGAGGUAACGGCUCACCAAGGCAACGAUACAUAGCCGACCUGAGAGGGUGAUCGGCCACACUGGGACUGAGACACGGCCCAGACUCCUACGGGAGGCAGCAGUAGGGAAUCUUCGGCAAUGGACGGAAGUCUGACCGAGCAACGCCGCGUGAGUGAAGAAGGUUUUCGGAUCGUAAAGCUCUGUUGUAAGAGAAGAACGAGUGUGAGAGUGGAAAGUUCACACUGUGACGGUAUCUUACCAGAAAGGGACGGCUAACUACGUG
This 494-nucleotide ribosomal RNA is filed under the name uncultured bacterium. Its description in RNAcentral is "partial 16S ribosomal RNA". It matches the Rfam family "Bacterial small subunit ribosomal RNA", at positions 28 to 507 of the family's 1533-position model. The record is from RNAcentral.